ACUUGUUGAUUAGACAAAGCGAUAUAAAUGCAAAAUAAAUAAAAAACCCAAAGUAUCUUUUCCGUGCAUUGAUUUUUACAGUAUACUGAUAGUGAAUAAGAUAAGAUUAUUGAACGAUUGUAACACAACGAGUUUCGACGUUGAGUUGUUAAUACCUUUUCUGUGUUAAUAGUUUAUAAAACAGCAAAAUGUGUUGCUGCGUCUGUAAUCUUCUAUGCAAAAUCCUCAGUGCAAUCUUCUCUUUAUUAUUCUUAGUUGCUGUUAUAUUACUCAUAUUAUGGGGAGUAGGAGUAAUAUUUCAGUAGCACUCAUAAAAACCUUCAAGAAAAUGAUGACGUAGAAGAAGUUUUUUACAUUCUGUGACUGUGAAUCAAUUUAUGUUAUUAAUGAAUUUUAAAAUAACAGCGAAGUUUAAAAUGUAAAAGCCAAAGAUUUUAUUAGACUUUUGACUGUUUAUUCUUAACUUUAUAUUUAUUAAAGGUCCAUCUAAAAUGUCCCAACUUUUUAUCGAUUUUUAAACCUCCUUUACUUCCUUUCUAUUAAAUAGUAUUUUGGUUAACGUUUCUAUAACUGUGCCUUUAUUAAUAAGACUGCGUAACAAUGACGAAAGUAUUAAAUAAAAAGUAAACAGACGCGUCAAAUUGUACACCUCUUUUUUGAAGUAGGUUAAAAAUAGAAUUACGUUUAUUAAAGCAGCAGUGAUAUUUU
This is a long non-coding RNA of Pieris brassicae (large cabbage white), 708 nucleotides long. RefSeq lists it as uncharacterized. The record is from RefSeq and is a predicted model, not a curated record. NCBI's taxonomy places the organism in Eukaryota, Metazoa, Arthropoda, Insecta, Lepidoptera, Pieridae. The transcript is spliced from 3 exons.